Non-coding RNA from Schistosoma rodhaini, 46 nucleotides. The record is from Rfam. NCBI's taxonomy places the organism in Eukaryota, Metazoa, Platyhelminthes, Trematoda, Strigeidida, Schistosomatidae.
GCACUGCUGAAGAGUCCCACCACAGGACGAAAUGGCCGCCCUGUGC